RNAcentral lists this ribosomal RNA (497 nucleotides) under uncultured bacterium. Its description in RNAcentral is "partial 16S ribosomal RNA". It matches the Rfam family "Bacterial small subunit ribosomal RNA", at positions 28 to 507 of the family's 1533-position model. The record is from RNAcentral.
GAUGAACGCUGGCGGCGUGCCUAAUACAUGCAAGUCGAGCGAACAGACGAGGAGCUUGCUCCUUUGACGUUAGCGGCGGACGGGUGAGUAACACGUGGAUAACCCACCUAUAAGACUGGGAUAACUUCGGGAAACCGGAGCUAAUACCGGAUAACAUGUUGAACCGCAUGGUUCAACAGUGAAAGACGGUCUUGCUGUCACUUAUAGAUGGAUCCGCGCCGCAUUAGCUAGUUGGUAAGGUAACGGCUUACCAAGGCAACGAUGCGUAGCCGACCUGAGAGGGUGAUCGGCCACACUGGAACUGAGACACGGUCCAGACUCCUACGGGAGGCAGCAGUAGGGAAUCUUCCGCAAUGGGCGAAAGCCUGACGGAGCAACGCCGCGUGAGUGAAGAAGGUCUUCGGAUCGUAAAACUCUGUUAUUAGGGAAGAACAAAUGUGUAAGUAACUAUGCACGUCUUGACGGUACCUAAUCAGAAAGCCACGGCUAACUACGUG